Molecule: ribosomal RNA, 554 nt
Filed under: uncultured bacterium
Lineage: Bacteria
Description: bacterial SSU rRNA
Rfam family: Bacterial small subunit ribosomal RNA
Source: RNAcentral
ACGGUACCUAUAGAAGAAGCACCGGCCAACUACGUGCCAGCAGCCGCGGUAAUACGUAGGGUGCGAGCGUUGUCCGGAAUUACCGGGCGUAAAGAGCUCGUAGGUGGUUUGUCGCGUUGUUCGUGAAAACUCACAGCUUAACUGUGGGCGUGCGGGCGAUACGGGCAGACUGGAGUACUGCAGGGGAGACUGGAAUUCCUGGUGUAGCGGUGGAAUGCGCAGAUAUCAGGAGGAACACCGGUGGCGAAGGCGGGUCUCUGGGCAGUAACUGACGCUGAGGAGCGAAAGCGUGGGGAGCGAACAGGAUUAGAUACCCUGGUAGUCCACGCCGUAAACGGUGGGUACUAGGUGUGGGUUUCCUUCCUUGGGAUCCGUGCCGUAGCUAACGCAUUAAGUACCCCGCCUGGGGAGUACGGCCGCAAGGCUAAAACUCAAAGGAAUUGACGGGGGCCCGCACAAGCGGCGGAGCAUGUGGAUUAAUUCGAUGCAACGCGAAGAACCUUACCUGGGUUUGACAUGCACAGGACGCUGGUAGAGAUAUCAGUUCCCUUGUG